RNAcentral lists this ribosomal RNA (483 nucleotides) under uncultured bacterium. RNAcentral's name for it is "partial 16S ribosomal RNA". It matches the Rfam family "Bacterial small subunit ribosomal RNA", at positions 30 to 507 of the family's 1533-position model. The record is from RNAcentral.
UUGAACGCUGGCGGCAGGCCUAACACAUGCAAGUCGAGCGGAUGAAGGGAGCUUGCUCCUGGAUUCAGCGGCGGACGGGUGAGUAAUGCCUAGGAAUCUGCCUGGUAGUGGGGGAUAACGUCCGGGAACGGGCGCUAAUACCGCAUACGUCCUGAGGGAGAAAGUGGGGGAUCUUCGGACCUCACGCUAUCAGAUGAGCCUAGGUCGGAUUAGCUAGUUGGUGGGGUAAGGGCCUACCAAGGCGACGAUCCGUAACUGGUCUGAGAGGAUGAUCAGUCACACUGGAACUGAGACACGGUCCAGACUCCUACGGGAGGCAGCAGUGGGGAAUAUUGGACAAUGGGCGAAAGCCUGAUCCAGCCAUGCCGCGUGUGUGAAGAAGGUCUUCGGAUUGUAAAGCACUUUAAGUUGGGAGGAAGGGCAGUAAGUUAAUACCUUGCUGUUUUGACGUUACCAACAGAAUAAGCACCGGCUAACUUCGUG